Molecule: non-coding RNA, 202 nt
Organism: Paramuricea clavata
Lineage: Eukaryota; Metazoa; Cnidaria; Anthozoa; Malacalcyonacea; Plexauridae
Source: the annotation of a GenBank genome assembly
CGGGAUUUUCGGAUUUUUAAAAAUCCGCGGAUUUUUUAGCGGAUUUUUCCCGGAUUUUUUAGCGGAUUUUUGAAGAGAAAAUCUGUUGGAUUUUCCGGAUUUGUUUGGAUUUUCCGGAUUUGUUCGGAUAUUUUCUGGAUUUUUUGACGAAGCGUACGGGAUUUUCGGAUUUUUAAAAAUCUGCGGAGUUUUUAGCGGAUUU